Molecule: ribosomal RNA, 507 nt
Filed under: uncultured Glomeromycotina
Lineage: Eukaryota; Fungi; Glomeromycota
Description: partial small subunit ribosomal RNA
Rfam family: Eukaryotic small subunit ribosomal RNA
Source: RNAcentral
CCAAUAGCGUAUAUUAAAGUUGUUGCAGUUAAAAAGCUCGUAGUUGAAUUUCGGGAUUGACGUGACGGUCGUGCCUUAAGGGGUAUGAACUGUUGCUGUUGAUUUCUCACCUUCUGGAGAAUCUCGAUGCCCUUUAUUGGGUGUCUUGUGGAUCCAGGACCUUUACCUUGAAAAAAUUAGAGUGUUUAAAGCAGGCAUUUUUGCUCGAAUACAUUAGCAUGGAAUAAUAGAAUAGGACGGCUUGGUUCUAUUUUGUUGGUUUCUAGGAUCACCGUAAUGAUUAAUAGGGAUAGUUGGGGGCAUUAGUAUUCAAUUGUCAGAGGUGAAAUUCUUGGAUUUAUUGAAGACUAACUACUGCGAAAGCAUUUGCCAAGGAUGUUUUCAUUAAUCAAGAACGAAAGUUAGGGGAUCGAAGACGAUCAGAUACCGUCGUAGUCUUAACCAUAAACUAUGCCGACUAGGAAUCAGACGAUGUUAAUUUUUUAAUGACUCGUUUGGCACCUUACG